UGGCACUAUCGCUUGUGCGCGACGGAGCAUUGGCCCUCGCCAGGCAACAAAAACAAAUCUCAAAGGCUAUGCUUUUGGUGCCCGCGUGCGCUGAAAGCGAGUAUACGAAAGCUACAGUACGUCACAGCCGCCAUGUAGUAACAGUAAUCUCAGAGGCUAUAAUUUUCUGCCCUUAAAGUGCCAAAAGCCUUAGCAGAAACACAAAACGCGAAAAUCGAACAACGAAUAUUUCCAAAAUAAGUAAAUAUUUCACUGUGUAAUAAUAAAAUACUUUAAAAAUUUAUUUAAGUUUGCGUAGAUGCACGUUGAUGCGUUAUAGGCCCUUUGCAAAGCAGAAGCCUUGCAGUGAUCCAAUCCAAGCCAAGCCAUCGUUGUCACGGCGUCUUUCAUUGUGCGAUUGUUUCAAGGGCAGCGCAACAGCGGACGUGUGUUGAUUCGUUUGUCACUUUCCGUGCCUGCCAAAGUCUCCUGCUCCUGCAGCUAAUAAGGUGCCAACAUGCUUAGGCUUAAGGAGAAGCCUUAUACGCGAAAGAGAGCGUCGCUGGAGACAAAGAUGCUAUUCGAGGACUUUGGAUCUCGCACCGGCAGCCAGCAGUCAACGGCUCGAGAAGUCGCAAGUGCAGAAAUGUGCAGUGGCGCAUGUACUACUCACGCAUGUGUUAACACGUGUGGUCGUGCUGUACCUGCAAACAUUUGUGUGCCUUGCGACUCUGGCCGCUGCACCGAGGCGACAUCAGAAGUUCAGGCCGCUGGUUGUGACACUGCGCGCACUACGGACAAUGUACCUUGCUUCCUUGAUGGAUCCACUCUAAGCGACUCUUCGGAUGGUUCACUUGGCUCGCCUGUGAGAGCGUCACAAGAGGAUCCCUUAGGAGAGGUGAGUGUGGGUUCUCUGGUUAGCAGGACCCCGGAGCCUACAUUUGAUUUAGCUACCGCGGACUCUUCAUCGGUGCCCUCUGACUUUGCUGAACGACUGCGCAGUUGGGCUAUUAAGGAAAAUGUUACGCAUACAGCGGUCACAUCACUGCUAAAGAUGCUCAAGACGAGUAGCUUUGACCCCUCAUCUCUCCCAAGUGACGCUCGCACUUUGCUCUCCACGCCCAGGGGUACACAACGUGCACCUGCUUUAACUGACAUGGCUCCUGGGCAAUACUGUCACUUUGGCUUGCAGUGCAGUCUAGAAAAUGCCUUGUCGGAAGCAUGUUUUAAGGGCAGCCAUGUUUCUUUGUUGUUUAAUAUUGACGGACUGCCAAUUUCUAAGAGUUCUAACAUGCAGUUGUGGCCAAUACAGUGCAUGAUUGGUGAGCAUGGCAGAGUUUCACCCUUUGUAGUCGGCAUUUUUGCUGGGCCUUCAAAGCCUGUUUCAGCGAAUGAUUUUCUGAGCCCCCUUGUCAGUGAGCUGCAGCAGCUUCUUUCGCAUGGAAUGGUUUUUGAGCACCGGGUAAUUAAGGUUUCGUCAACUUGUUUUGUUUUAGAUGCACCAGCACGGUCAUUUGUUUUUCAAAUUAAAGGACACACUGGAUAUUCUGGGUGCCCAAAGUGCACAGUAGAGGGCACAUACAGCAACAACCGACUCAGCUUUCCAGCGAGGUCCUCCACUUUGCGCACCGAUGAUUCAUUCAGGCGUCAGACUGACCCUGACCAUCACCUAGGCACCUCAGUUUUGAUGACGCUUCCCAUAGACUGUGUCGCCUCUGCACCCCUUGACUACAUGCACCUUUUAUGUCUGGGCAUUAUGAAAAAGUUGCUUAGUGCUUGGUUAGGUGGCCGUUUAGAGGUCCGUCUCGGACCUGCAGAACGAAGACGGUUGUCUGACUUAAACCUAUCUUUAGCUCCUAAUGUACCUAAAGAAUUUUCCCGCAAACCUAGAAGUGUAGCAGAGGCUGAGCGUUGGAAGGCCACAGAAUUCAGACUACUACUUCUCUACACUGGGCCUGUAGUACUCAUGCCUGUUCUACCUCCUGAUCUUUACAUGAACUUUCUUUCGCUGCACUGUGCAGUGUACAUUCUGGCAAGUCCUAGCCUGUGCCAGCAGCAUACUGAUUAUGCCGAGUCUCUUCUUAAGUACUUUGUUAAAACUUUUGCAAGAUUGUAUGGAAAUGACCAGGUUUCCUACAAUGUUCACUGUGCAUUACAUGUUGCAAAUGAUGUACGCAAGCACGGACCACUGGACAUGUUCAGCGCAUUUCCUUUUGAAAAUAAUAUGCAGUACCUCAAGCGGCUUCUAAAAAGCCACAAGACUCCACUUGCCCAGCUGUACAACCGCUUAAAGGAGCGAGAGGGAAAGGGGGCGGCAACCUUUCCAUCACUGAACGCGAUUAAAUUUACAAAAGAACAUUCAGAUGGGCCUCUCCUAGGUACCUGUGCACCACCCCAGUACAAACAGGCCACGUUUGCUAGCUUCAUCCUCAGUGUAGAUGUUCCUGAUAACUGCUGCAUAAUAGAUGGCUCUGUCGUGAUUGUAGAUAGUUUCGCACACUUUAGAGCUACACAAGCACCUUGCAUCAUUGGUCGCGAAUUCAUGGUGAAGGAAAACUUCUAUGAUAAGCCAUUUUCUUCUUGUACCAUUGAUGUUUAUGUGGUUUCACAGCUUUCUGAUGUUAAAUGUUGGCCAUUAAGGAAUGUGCGUAAGCUUGUCAGGUUACCCUGGCAUGGGAAAUUUGUUAUAAUUCCAUUGCUGCAUAUGUCUUAAUCGCAGGUGUUAUACCUGUGCCACACGGGCGAGGUUAAUGGCAUUAAAUGUUUAAGACCUAAGUUUCUUAAUGCCAUUAUACCAAAGCUAGCUCGACGGCCAAUCCAUAGCGUAGCCAAAGCAUUGAAAUUGGAAAAAUAGCGCUCACAGCUUCAAAGCUCCCAAGCAGCGAUCCUGAAAAAUGUGACCGUGUGCUCCAGUUUGUUCUGACAUACGUGCUUCGAGUCGAGCAUCGUUGAGAAAUUCGAAGGCUUCAGUAUGAGGCCAACAAGGCAAGUAGCCGCCGCUGUGCAAUCGAACAGCUUCUCCUGGCUAAUGCGCUCACGAUUAGAGCUGUGGCCGUGAGUAGCGCCAAGAUCGCCUGCUGAUCUCUACGAAAAUAAAAAGCUCCUUUUAAAAAAGUGAAGAAUGUAUUAGUUGUUUUGAUCUACAAGUUUGUUUAAUAUCGUGAGGAUAUGGUCACUGCAGCCACGGCGGGAACAUUGUAAAUGAGAGUACGCAUUCGAUGGCCAAGUGAGUUUCAAUAAUUGUAAGAACUCACUACGCCGCAAGAGAGAGCUAUUUUUUAAAGAAAGUCAAGAAUAUAUUAAUUGUUCUUCACUAAUAGUUCGUUUAGUCACGUCAGAUUGGGGAGACAUUGGGAACCAGAGUACGCAUUCGACGGCAAAGUGAGUUACGAGAACGCACUACAUUGCGAAUGGCAUUUAAGCUUGAAUACCAUUAAGCAUGUCCGUGUGGCACCCCGCAAAUUACAUUAAAGUUUAAGGCAUUACCCAGUUAAUGUCAUUUUAUGUGCCCGUGUGGCAGGGAUAUGAGUGCUAUUCAAGUGAUGUAGUCAAGAUUAAUUCCUUCAUGUCAUUUCUGUUGCUUUCGCAGUUUAGUAAUGCUAAUUCAUGUCUUUUUGCUCUCUUUCUUUCAGCAUUCUGGGCUCCGUUGGAGCCCAGAAUGCUCCGUUGGAUUUUGUGUUUGUCUGCGUAUAACUACAGCCUUCAGUACAGGCGAGGCCAAGAAAACUUCAACGCAGACGCACUCAGUUGUCUGCCAGCUCCGGGAGACGAAGACGAGCCACAGCUACCUGGGGACGUGCUCCUGUUGGAAGCAGUCGAGUGCGCACCGCUGCAGGCGGCAGACAUCGCUGCGCUGAUCAAGAAGGACAAAGUAUUGUCCAUGGUAAAGGACUGGAUCCUUAGUGGCUGGCCGUCAACACAACUGGACAGCAAGUUCGCGCCUUACGAGGUGAGGAAGACGGAGUUGUCGUUGCAUCGUGAUUGCAUACUGUGGGGGAAUCGCGUUGUAAUUCCUCACGCAGCAAGAGAAAGUGUGCUUCAACUCCUACAUGCAAAUCACCCUGGGAUGAGUGCUAUGAAAGCGUCAGCUAGAGGGCUCAUGUGGUGGCCGAAAAUGGACCACGAAAUUGAAGAGUUUGUACGACACUGUCAGCCAUGUCAUAGUAACCGGCAAAGUGAUCCCAAGGUUCCAGUGCAUUUUUGGAUCAAUCCAGAUCAACCUUGGAGUCGCCUACACAUUGAUUUCGCUGGUCCAGUUAAUGGAGAAGUAUUUUUAAUCGUGGUAGACGCGUACAGCAACUGGGCUGAGGUCGAAAUCAUGUCAUCCAUAAAAGCUACAGCUGUCGUCACCAGCUUAAGGAAGAUGUUUGCGACACACGGUAUGCCAGACGUUAUCGUUUCGGAUAAUGGCACAGCAUUCACUAGCUCGGAGUUGCAAACGUUUUUAAAGUGCAAUGGUGUGCGUGCUAUUUUCACUGCUCCUUACAAUCCCGCCAGUAAUGGCAGGGUGGAGAGAAUGGUAAGAGAAGUUAAAGAAGCAACAGGAAGGUUCAACGCAGUGCAAGAUUUCACGGUUCCUGUUUAAACAGCACACGACGCCGCAUUCGGUCACGGGGAAAUCUCCGGCAGAAUUGAUGUUCGGACGAAGGCUGAGGACAGCCUUGGACAGACUUCAUCCGGACCGGCAAUACGUGCCGGAACCGCAACGACCGGAGAUUAAGAGGUUCCAUGUCGGUAACGCGGUCUAUGCUAAAAGCUUCUGUCCAGGUCCAAGGUGGAAGGCGGUCAGGGUUGUGGCAGUGCGAGGCCUGGUGUCGUACAUCGUCCAGUUGGACAACGGCGAACGCCAUCACAGGCACCGGAACCAGUUGAGGAGCGCCUGGACGAGGCUCGAAGCCGAUCCAGUCUGAAGUGCAGACUACCACGUCAGGCUGCCUCCUACAGCCAGACGACCACAACAGCCGCCGGUCAGCACGGAAGCAGCCGCAGGGGCAAGACCGGGCCAAGCUACCCAAGACCCGGUCGAGACGCGAAGAUCAACACACGUUAGACGGCCUAUCGCACGUUAUGGCAUUGAUGACUAACCAGACAUUUUGCAAUUGUGUAACGAAUCUUAGGGGAAAGGAAUAUUGUAUAUUGAUAUCGCGUGUCAUACUACAUUUUCAUGAUAAUCGCUUAUCGGCCACGCAAGCAUCAGUCGGCAGAUCACAUGUUCAUCACCCUAUAAAAAGGGCACGGCAUCAAUAGACGUCUGUUCCACCCUGGCGUCCGGCUAAUACGCUACACUUUCUUUUCGAGAGCAGUUUACUGUUGUUAACAAUUUCUCUUCCCCGACUUCUGUUAGCUCUGGUGUGCCACAAGGCAGCGUCCUCGGCCCCUUACUCUUCUCAAUCUCCAUUAACGACUUACCCGCCCAGAUUACUUCCUGCAUGCGCCUUUUUUCCGAUGACUGCAUAAUCUACCGUCCUAUUCACACGACUGACGAACUUCAAGCAGAUCUUAACCUUAUCGCUAACUGGUGUAACAAAUGGCUCAUGACACUAAACUGUACAAAGUGCGAGGUGAUGUGCUUCAGCCGAAAAUGUGUAAGUUCUAAAAAUUCAUAUCAUCUUAAUAACACUAUGUUUUCCCACACUUCAUCAUAUAAGUACCUUGGUGUUGUUCUUGCAGAGAAUCUUUCAUGGACCCCACACAUCACUUCUACAUACACCAAAGCAUCACAUUCUCUUGGCUAUCUACGGCACAACUUGCGAAAUGCCCUGCCAAACAUUCGAAAACUCGCUUUCCACACAUUCAUUUUGCCACAGUUAGAAUUCGCCUCCCCAAUUUGGUCCCCUCAUCAAAAUUACCUAAUAAAUAUGACGGAAAUGAUACAAAACAGAGCAGCCCGGUUCAUAUCCCAUAACUACAGUAGAAACUCAAGCAUUACACAAAUUAGACUAGACCUACUGUUGCUGCCAUUAGAUGUCCGCCGCAACAUCGCUCUUCUCUGCUUAUUCCACAAAUAUAUUUACACUAAUAAACGAACCCGGUUACAAAUACAAAUACCACACUCUUUUUCACGCAGAUUACAUAAUCAGUUGAGUUUCAUGCGCACAUAUGCUAAAACAAAUGCAUUUAAUUCAUCUGCACUACCACGUGUCAUUCGUCUCUGGAAUGACCUCCCUGAUAACACAGCCUCCAUAUCUAAUCCCGACACGUUCAGCUCUCAGUUACUCAUGCUUUUCCCAUUUAAUACCAUUCACGAGUGACAAAUCUAGUGUAUGUUAUCGUGUAUUUUUGCCAUGUUGUAUAUCAUUUUCAGAAACGGUAUUCCUUUGGUCUGUUAACAGUAACAAGUGUUCAUGUGCCUUCAGAUAUUGCUUUGUAUUCCUAGUGCCUUCAAUAUUGUGUAACACGGUAAUCUCUUUCUGGCAGUGUUCCUCUUGGAAAUUUGAACGUUUUAUAUCUUUACUGUUUAAUAGGCCCCCCUUAAUUACUUUAUGCCCUGCCAUAAGGCCUGUAAGGUUCUUUUGAAUAAAUAAAUAAAUAUUUGCUUUUUGGCCUUUAUAUGUAUAUGUAUGAGGUGACAAUAAAAGAUUAAUUGUAUUUGGAA
Long non-coding RNA from Dermacentor albipictus, 6574 nucleotides. RefSeq lists it as uncharacterized. NCBI's taxonomy places the organism in Eukaryota, Metazoa, Arthropoda, Arachnida, Ixodida, Ixodidae. The record is from RefSeq and is a predicted model, not a curated record.